AUCCUUAAGUCGUAAUUUAAGGUGGUCUCUGCCCUAUGACAAUUAAAUGGCCGCUGUAUAUACUGUGCUAAGGUAGCAAAAUAAUUAGGCUAUUAAUUGUAGUCGAGAAUGAAAGAGGUUCAUGGAAGCAAACUUUAUUAAAUCUAUGUUUUGAAUUUGCUAAAAAGGUGAAAACACCUUUAUCAAUAAAAAAGACGAAAAGACCCUGGGAAUUGUGACAGCAGUAUUUGUUGGGGCAACACAUAUAACAAACAGUAUAUAUUACAAGUCUACUUGUAUGAAAGAAUAAUUACCCCAGGGAUAACAGCAUAAUAUUAAAAAUGUUUGUGACCUCGAUGUUGGACUAAGAAAUGACAAGAUAAGCAGUUUUGUCUAUUGGCUCUGUUCGAGCACUACCUCUU
This 401-nucleotide ribosomal RNA is filed under the name Parthenina affectuosa. RNAcentral's name for it is "partial 16S ribosomal RNA". It matches the Rfam family "Bacterial large subunit ribosomal RNA", at positions 1829 to 2597 of the family's 2925-position model. The record is from RNAcentral. Lineage: Eukaryota; Metazoa; Mollusca; Gastropoda; Pyramidellidae.